GCGCUGGUAGCUCAGCUGGAUAGAGUGUCUGACUACGAAUCAGAAGGCCGGGGGUUCGAGUCCCUUCCAGCGCACCA
Molecule: transfer RNA, 77 nt
Filed under: Gemmiger formicilis
Lineage: Bacteria; Bacillati; Bacillota; Clostridia; Eubacteriales; Oscillospiraceae
Also listed under: 9 other names
Description: tRNA-Arg
Rfam family: tRNA
About the family: Transfer RNA (tRNA) molecules are approximately 80 nucleotides in length. Their secondary structure includes four short double-helical elements and three loops (D, anti-codon, and T loops).
Source: RNAcentral